AGUGAACGCUGGCGGUAGGCCUAACACAUGCAAGUCGAACGGCAGCACAGUAAGAGCUUGCUCUUACAGGUGGCGAGUGGCGGACGGGUGAGGAAUACAUCGGAAUCUACUUUUUCGUGGGGGAUAACGUAGGGAAACUUACGCUAAUACCGCAUACGACCUACGGGUGAAAGCAGGGGAUCUUCGGACCUUGCGCGAUUGAAUGAGCCGAUGUCGGAUUAGCUAGUUGGCGGGGUAAAGGCCCACCAAGGCGACGAUCCGUAGCUGGUCUGAGAGGAUGAUCAGCCACACUGGAACUGAGACACGGUCCAGACUCCUACGGGAGGCAGCAGUGGGGAAUACUGGACAAUGGGCGCAAGCCUGAUCCAGCCAUACCGCGUGGGUGAAGAAGGCCUUCGGGUUGUAAAGCCCUUUUGUUGGGAAAGAAAAGCAGCAGGUUAAUACCCCGCUGUUCUGACGGUACCCAAAGAAUAAGCACCGGCUAACUUCGUG
RNAcentral lists this ribosomal RNA (492 nucleotides) under uncultured bacterium. Its description in RNAcentral is "partial 16S ribosomal RNA". It matches the Rfam family "Bacterial small subunit ribosomal RNA", at positions 29 to 507 of the family's 1533-position model. The record is from RNAcentral.